AGGAGUGGAGUGGUGUUGACUCAGGAACGUUGUUAGAUGAAGUUUGGAAAGCAUUUUCCAACAGGGAUAGAUAGGGAAAAGGCAAUGUGACCGGCUGGAAAGGAAAACGAGAGCCACGAGAACGCAGUUGGAACUCUAGAGGGUGCUAAGAGACCGCCCAACAGGGAAGGAGCAAGAGGAAGGUGAGGUGGAAAAAGGGGAACAAGGGGAGGCAGCAGGCUCCCAUCGUUUCCCAGACAACAAUCAGAAGAAAAGCAGAGCACACUUGGUAAGGAAAAAGCACCUUGGUCCGCGGGCUGGGAAGUUGGACCCUGCCUAACAGAGGGAAAAUAUUGAAGGGAUACAGGAGAUUCUACAUCAGCUUAACCCCUGAGGCUGGGGAAAGAAGAGCGAAAUUUUUGUUCCCCCACGUGAGAGGUGAGGAAGGCUGCCUUAACACUGAACUCUGUACAGGUACAGAAUGGG
Molecule: non-coding RNA, 465 nt
Organism: Lonchura striata (white-rumped munia)
Lineage: Eukaryota; Metazoa; Chordata; Aves; Passeriformes; Estrildidae
Source: RefSeq, a predicted model, not a curated record